This 73-nucleotide transfer RNA is filed under the name Ovis aries (sheep). It matches the Rfam family "tRNA". Rfam says of the family: Transfer RNA (tRNA) molecules are approximately 80 nucleotides in length. The record is from Rfam by way of RNAcentral. Lineage: Eukaryota; Metazoa; Chordata; Mammalia; Artiodactyla; Bovidae.
UCCUUGGUGGUCCAGGGGUUAGGACUCUGAGCUUCCACUGCAAGAGGCAUGGGUUUGAUCCCUGUUUAGGGAA